AGGCGGUCAGUUCCAGUCAAAGGUAAAUCCCGGAGUCCACUUCGGAACCGCCCUUUAAACCUCUUGAUUCUGGAGUUCAUAAGAGGUGUGUGAAUUCCAAGUCUAAAGGUUAAAUUCGGUAGAUAUUCGGAGGACCCACCAAAGGCGAAAGGCGCCACCUGGGCAUGAAUACUUACCUUUAAGGUGCAAAAGCGUGGAAAGCAACCAGAUUAGAAUCCCUUGGUAGUCCACCGCCGGUAACCGAUGAAUACCUAGCUGUCCGGGCUCAUAGAGCUUGGGUGGCGCCAGCUACCGCAUUAAGUUAUCCGCUUGGGAAGUACGGUCGCAAGAUUAAACCUCAAAGAAUUUGACGGGGGCCCGCACAACCGGUGAAGCAUGUGGUUUAUUUCAAAGCAACGCGCAGACCCUUACCAACCCUUGACAUCCUUGGACCGCCAGAGAGAUCUGGUUUUCUCGUAAGAGACCAAGUGACAGGUGCUGCAUGGCUGUCGUCAGCUCGUGUCGUGAGAUGUUCGGUUAAGUCCGGCAACGAGCGCAACCCACAUCCUUAGUUGCCAGCAGUUCGGCUGGGCACUCUAGGGAAACUGCCCGUGAUAAGCGGGAGGAAGGUGUGGAUGACGUCAAGUCCUCAUGGCCCUUACGGGUUGGGCUACACACGUGCUACAAUGGCAUCUACAGUGAGUUAAUCUCCAAAAGAUGUCUCAGUUCGGAUUGGGGUCUGCAACUCGACCCCAUGAAGUCGGAAUCGCUAGUAAUCGCGUAACAGCAUGACGCGGUGAAUACGUUCCCGGGCCUUGUACACACCGCCCGUCACACCAUGGGAGUUGGUUCUACCCGACGACGCUGCGCUAACCCUUCGGGGAGGCAGGCGGCCACGGUAGGAUCAGCGACUGGGGUGAAGUCGUAACAAGGAAUCC
RNAcentral lists this ribosomal RNA (917 nucleotides) under uncultured bacterium. Its description in RNAcentral is "bacterial SSU rRNA". It matches the Rfam family "Bacterial small subunit ribosomal RNA", at positions 573 to 1501 of the family's 1533-position model. The record is from RNAcentral.